AUUGAACGCUGGCGGCAGGCCUAACACAUGCAAGUCGAGCGGAUGAAGGGAGCUUGCUCCUGGAUUCAGCGGCGGACGGGUGAGUAAUGCCUAGGAAUCUGCCUGGUAGUGGGGGAUAACGUCCGGAAACGGGCGCUAAUACCGCAUACGUCCUGAGGGAGAAAGUGGGGGAUCUUCGGACCUCACGCUAUCAGAUGAGCCUAGGUCGGAUUAGCUAGUUGGUGGGGUAAAGGCCUACCAAGGCGACGAUCCGUAACUGGUCUGAGAGGAUGAUCAGUCACACUGGAACUGAGACACGGUCCAGACUCCUACGGGAGGCAGCAGUGGGGAAUAUUGGACAAUGGGCGAAAGCCUGAUCCAGCCAUGCCGCGUGUGUGAAGAAGGUCUUCGGAUUUUAAAGCACUUUAAGUUGGGAGGAAGGGCAGUAAGUUAAUACCUUGCUGUUUUGACGGUACCAACAGAAUAAGCACCGGCUAACUUCGUG
RNAcentral lists this ribosomal RNA (484 nucleotides) under uncultured bacterium. RNAcentral's name for it is "partial 16S ribosomal RNA". It matches the Rfam family "Bacterial small subunit ribosomal RNA", at positions 30 to 507 of the family's 1533-position model. The record is from RNAcentral.